RNAcentral lists this ribosomal RNA (253 nucleotides) under uncultured bacterium. RNAcentral describes it as "partial 16S ribosomal RNA". It matches the Rfam family "Bacterial small subunit ribosomal RNA", at positions 524 to 776 of the family's 1533-position model. The record is from RNAcentral.
UACGGGGGGGGCAAGCGUUGUUCGGAAUUACUGGGCGUAAAGGGCUCGUAGGUGGCCAACUAAGUCAGACGUGAAAUCCCUCGGCUUAACCGGGGAACUGCGUCUGAUACUGGAUGGCUAGAGAUUGGGAGAGGGAUGCGGAAUUCCAGGUGUAGCGGUGAAAUGCGUAGAUAUCUGGAGGAACACCGGUGGCGAAGGCGGCAUCCUGGACCAACACUGACACUGAAGAGCGAAAGCCAGGGGAGCAAACAGG